UAGCUUCUUCAGCAUUUCAACUUCCAUGCUUGCUUGAACAAGUCCUGUUAUGCUUUUCCACAGCUUUCUUGAACUUCUUAUGCCUAAUGCAGCUAUUGAUGUGGCAUUGAAGUUUAAGAAAAAUGUGGAAAAACAUGUCAAAUCUAGGACU
This 151-nucleotide microRNA precursor is filed under the name Glycine max (soybean). RNAcentral's name for it is "miR396f stem-loop (gma-MIR396f)". Its record names the gene gma-MIR396f. Lineage: Eukaryota; Viridiplantae; Streptophyta; Magnoliopsida; Fabales; Fabaceae. The record is from miRBase by way of RNAcentral.